This 10826-nucleotide long non-coding RNA is filed under the name Homo sapiens (human). RNAcentral's name for it is "non-protein coding lnc-PYURF-2:7". The stretch from base 8337 to 8643 matches the Rfam family "7SK RNA". The record is from RNAcentral. Lineage: Eukaryota; Metazoa; Chordata; Mammalia; Primates; Hominidae.
AGAGCCAGGCGCAGGCUGCCCGAGGUGACAGGACUCGAGGGCCCGGCGCGGGGACAGCGGCACGGGUGUGUCAGCCGAAAUCGGACUGCAAGACAUAGAGCGUUGACGCUGAAAUAAGAUUGCUUUUCACUGGCGGGGAAGCGAGCUGGACCGAUCAGCGGUUGCCUAUUCAGGUUCUGGACUCUGGUUUUUAUUAUUUAUGAAGAGGUGACCGAAAGCCUUGGGCACGGGGGAAAAAGCUGGAGGGUGACAAUUGAGGGAGAGUGCGCUAGUCUUCUGCUUUACUCCCCUUCGUAGGACUGUAGGAAGCGCGGCGCCGGCCCGCGGCGCUGCGCGGUGGGAGAGGCGGGGAAGGAGGUACGCGGCAGCCGCCGGCGCUCUUCUGGAGAGGUGGGGAUCGAAGACCGGCACGGGGCUGCGGAAGAAAGGCGGGCCUGGGGGAGGCUGGAGGGUGGACCCGGGGGGAGCAUAGCAAGAAGAGUCUGAGCACCAGAUCUUAAAAUCUUGUAAUCUGAAAGACACUCUGUGGCCUAUACCCAGUAACGGAUUUUUUAAAAGUUUGUCCUCUUCCACUUUUCCCUAGCGCCGAAUCCCAGAGCUUCCUCCCCCUCCCCAAGGUCACUAGUGCUUUCAUACUUGCCCUAGACCUGAUCUGAUCCACAGCUAAUCUUUUGCAGAAAACCUCAGAAAGGUGACUUCAUGUGUCUGCCCCCCUUAAAUGUAAAAUGCAGAACACUGGCACGGUACUGCUUUAAUCCAAAGGAAUAACUCUCCCAGUGGAAGAAUUUCUAUAACCUGGCAUUUGAAGCAGGAAGGCCCUUUGAGGAUAGAUUCUUACCAAGGACAUUCAAAUCACCUCAGGUCUGCAAUCGCUCGUCCUGAGAACCUAACAGACUGACCAAGUAGAAAAGAAAGUUUCAAGGAGUGGUGUAUCCUGGGGAUGAGACGUUGUUGGCUGACUGACAGUGUUGAGCCCUCCGUGAAAUAAUGCAAAUUGUCCAGUACACUGAGACAAGAAAGCUAAAAAAGCAGAAUCUAAGUUAUCAGGUCAUCUAAGAAAAAAUCCAAACCUUUGAAAUUUGGAUCACACUUGACACGUUUAGAAACACUGGGGAUGGCCAGGCGCGGUGGCCCAUGCCUGUAAUCUCGGCACUUUGGGAGGCCGAAGCCGGUGGAUCACUUGAGGUCAGCAGUUCGAGACCAGCCUGGCCAACAUGGUGAAACCUUGUCUCUACAAAAAAAAAUACCAAAAUUAGCCGAGUAGGGUGGUGUGCGCCUGUAGUCCCAGCUACUCAGGAGGCUGAGGCAGGAGAAUCACUGGAACCUGGAAGGCGGAGGUUGCAGUAAGCUGAAAUCAAGCCACUGUACUUACUCCAGCCUGGGCAACAGAAUGAAACGUUGUCUCAAAAAAAAAAAAAAAAGAAAGAAAAAGGAAAAAAGAAACACUGGGGACAAGAGUAACACAAUUCACUUAUAUUCCAGAUAUGUGGCAGUUUCACAAAAGUUUAGUCUAUUACAAAGAUGCAAUCCCAAUUUAGAGAUGCUGUUGGCAAAAGAACUGGUUAAAUGCCCAAAGAGGAGUCUGGUAGGAAGACGAAGGAGUCCGGUACUUGCAAAGGAGAAAGUGAGAGAUCCUAUUGUUAGGUGUCACAUAUGAGGUUUGUAAUCAAUCAGUGUUUGGGUUGAUAUGUCUGGCCCAUGGCUCAAGUGUUUUUCUUUUUUUGUUGUUGUUUUUUUGUUUUUUGUUUUUGAGACGGAGUCUCGCUCUGUCGCCCAGGCUGGAGUGCAGUGGCGCAAACUCGGCUCCCUGCAAGCUGCGCCUCCCGGAUUCACGCAAGUCUCCUGUCGCAGCCUCCUGAGUAACUGGGACUACAGGCGCCCACCACAACGCCCGGCUAAUUUUUGUAUUUUCAGUAGAGACGGGGUUUCACCAUGUUAGCCAGGAUGGUCUCAAUCUCCUGACCUCGUGAUCCGCCCACCUCGGCCUCCCAAAGUGCUGGGAUUACAGGCGUGAGCCACCGCGCCCGGAGUUUGUUUUUUUGAGAAGGAGUCUCGCUCAGUUGCCUGGGAUGGAGUGCAGUGGCGCGAUCUCUGCUCACUGCAACAUCCACCUCCCCGGCUCAAGCAAUUCUCCUGCCUCAGCCUCCCGAGUAGCUGGGAUUACAGGCGCUCACCACCACACCCGGCUCAUUUUUGUACUUUUAGUAGAGGCGGGAUUUCACCAUGUUGGCCAGGCCGGUUUAGAACUCCUGACCUCAAAUCAUCUGCCCACCUCGGCCUCCCAAAGUGCUGAGAUUACAGGCGUGAGCCUCCGUGCCGGCCGGCUCAAGUGUUUUUCAUAUGAAAUUUCAUCUUGAGGAAAAGGAUGGUUAUCAAAGACUCAAGCCUAGAAAUGGGAUAGGAGCAAUGUAUAAAUAACAAGUUAGGAUACUGUAAGCUUCUUUUACCAAAUAAAUAGCCAAACCCUGAGAACUUACAUAGAACUUACAUAGAACAGUAAAGAUACCACAGUACUUCGAUUUAUUUUUUUUCAUUGGGACAACAUAUAAUGACAAUUUCCUUAGCAAGCAUGUCCUGCUUCAAAAUGGCUUUAAAUGGCUCCAGCAUCAGCAAUAGUCUUAACAGCAGAUACGUAAACUGUUUUGAAGAGGCCAUGGUUUACUUUUUCCUUCCAUUUCUAUAGCCCUGUCUUCCAUCCAUUUCUUUCUGCAUUCUCAUAUAUUCUCUAACAAACGUACUAUAUACUGAGCACCUACAAUAAUGUCAGCCCCUGUGAAUACAUUGGUAAGCAAAACAGUACAGUCUUUGUUGCCAUGAAAGGGGAGACAAACAUUAACCAAAUAAUUGUACCAAGGAAUAUAUACUUGCUAACCUGUAUAAAUUUUAUAAAAGAAAAACAUUCAUGUUAAAAAUAAAAGGCUUAAUAAAUUCUAGGCUCAUGCCCCUGUAAUCCCAGGGCUUUGGGUUACAGGCUGAGGCAAGAGCAUCGCUUGAGGCCAGGAGUUUGAGACCAGCCUGUGCAACAUAGUGAGUCCCUGUCUCUCCAAAAAAUAAAAAUAGGCAUGGUGGGGCACGCCUUUAGUCCUAGCUACUUGGGAGGCUGAGGUGAGAGAAUAGCUUGAGCAUAGGAAUUCGAGGUUGCAUUGAGCUUUGAUGGCACCACUGCACUCCAGCCUGGAUGACAGAGGAGACUCCAAAUACACACACACACACGCACACACGCGUGCACAUACACACACACACACACAUAUAACCAUAACUUUUUUUUUAAGAGACAGGAUCUUGCUAUGUUGCCCAGGCUGGCUUCAAACUCCUAGACUCAAGCAAUCCUGCUGCCUUAGCCUCCCGAGGAGCAAGGAUUAAACUAACCAUAACUUUUGACAGGGGGACAGGACCAUGUGGUUCAGCUCUAUCACUGGUUAGACAAGGUAUGCCCAGUGGCAAGGGGAUGGUGCCCAGGGCUGCUGCACUUCUACCUGAACACAUGCUGAUUUCCUCCAUUAGUUACCAUUCACUUCUUAAAAUACAUCUAUUUUCAAAUGAAACCAUUUUUCAAUAGAAUGGUAAUACUGUUUAAUGAUAAUUGUUUUCCUUUCUUCCCUUUGUUUAAUUUACUUGCCUUGCAGACAAAUAUUUACUUGGUAAACUUUGAAAGAGAUAGAUUUCUGAUAUCUUGGAUGAAAUCUGUGGAAAAAAACAGGCUACCCAGGACAUUCUGUCUCUCAGAUACACCAUUGAAGAAUAAAUAUCUUUAGGAGGGAAAAGCACUGACUGAUUAUUUGACAAGUAAAAAGUAUGUGUACCUUGUAUGGUUAUGUAAUGACAAAGGUGUUUCUUGGUCCCCCACGUCCAAAAGAAGUACUUACUUUCUCAGUCUAGUCAGUACUUAAUGGAAAAAUCAGUCUAUCUAUACCCAGACUAAACUUAUUAAAAACUGUCCUGUAACACACAGCAUUGAUUUAUUAAUAUGAAACAACUUAGAAUAAAAACAUUAUGGUAAAUCAGUAUUACCAUCAAAUAAUCUUUUAAUAUUAUUGAAUAUGUUCCACCUGUAGUACUGCUAGACAAGAAGCAUCAUUCCUGACUACAAAGAGCUUACAGCCCUUAUGAUUAUUUCUCUAUCUUCCUUGAAACUAUUCAUGGUUUGUUUGCAUUUUUUUCUUAUCAAGCCAUUUGGAUGAAGCAUAAGAAUCUUACCUUAAUUAUGAGAAACUCAUUGUUUUCAUAUAAAUUAAAAUGUAUUAAUGAUAACAGGAUUGGAUGGUUGAACAUUUUCUAAGAAAACCUUUAAGUUGAGCAUUAGCUGGUCUCUGAAGAUUUCAUCCAAUAAAGCCUUUAGGAAGUGAAGUAUUUCGUGAAGGUUCCUCCUUUUAAAAAGUCCCUUAAUAUGUGCUCUUAGAAAUGGCAUCCCACAUUUCACUAUGACUGGACUGGCAAAAUAAGUGCUUGGGCAAAAGCAGCAAAGAUCACGUUUGUCAUCAUGUAGCUGCACAGAAUACAUGCAUGUAACUGCCAAAAAUCAGGCAGCUGUCUCACCCUUCUAGAGGCAAAGAAACAUAGUCUUCCAAAAUUUACUUGUGUAAAACCAAAAUAAAAUCAUAAAUGUGAAAAAAAUCUCCUUCCUUUGAAGUUAUACUAAAUCUGGGUCAAAGGAAAUUUAAGGAAUUUUGUUAUUUCCUAGAAAAGCUAAAGUGAACCUGUGGAAUUUCAAGAAGGCAUACCUAUAACAAUAUUAGACAGCUUUAUAGGUUGGCCAUAAAAAUCUGUAAACACAGCAAAUAUACCUAAUAAAUGGUUUGUUGUUAUUACGUAAUAUGUUUAGUGACAUUACAUGAUAUGUUCAGUGACAUUACAUGGUAUGUGAAUUGUGUUGUCCCUUGUAACAAUGCUCAUGUUACAAAGCAUGGUGCAUUGAUACAACAUUUUUCCCAAUCCAAGCAAAAGCAAAAUCAGCUGCAAUGUGUUGCCUCAGUUGAUUUCUCCCUCUGAUUUCUCCUGAAUAAACCUGUACCUUUAGCAUACCUCAGAAGAAGUAAGUAAUCAGGGAGUUCAAUGUGUAAAAUCAAUAUAUACUAUAAUAUUAUUUACUUAAGUCUGUAAAAAAUAAAAUAACAUUGUCUGUGUUUCCAGACUUUACGGCCACCUUUUUAUAAAGGUAAACUGGUAUUUAACUUUCUGUUGACCUUCAGCAUUUUAUUUUCAGCCUACAUAUAGGUAAAAGCCCAGUGAAAUCUGCCAUUGUAUUUACUUUUAAGUUGUUAACAGAUUAUUCUUCUCACAGAUACUAUAGAUACUGUAAUUGACUCUGUUUAUCUCUUUCUGUUGGCUCUCGAAAGCCUAGAGCAAAAUGUGUGGCCCAUCUGUACAGAAUCUUAUUGCUUGCAUUUUUAGAAGUAACCUCAAGGUUCAUUUUAACUUUCUUAUAUCAUUUUUCCCAUUGUACUCAUUUCCUUACCUACUUAAAAAAAUGAAAAGCAACUUGUUUUUCUCUUCCCAAAUAUAAAAUAUAUUUGCUAUAUGAAAUGUGUUAAAUACAUAUAAGAGAAAAGAAGAAAGUGAAAUGAUCUGUCCUUUUCACUGACCACAUUUAGUUCUUGAUAGUUUGGCAUUUUCCAAUGCAUACAUAUACAUUUUAAAAAGUGGCUUAUUCGGCCAGGCGUGGUGGCUCAUGCCUAUAAUCCCAGCACUUUGGGAGGCGGAGGCGGGUGGAUCACCUGAGGUUGGGAGUUCGAGACCAGCCUGGCCAACAUGGCAGAAACCCCAUCUCUACUAAAAAUACAAAAUUAGCCGGGCAUGGUGGCACAUGCCUGUAAUCCCAGCUACUCAGGAGGCUGAGGCAGGAGAAUCACUUGAACCCAGAAGGUGGAGGUUGCGGUGAGCUGAGAUCACGCCAUUACACUCCAGCCUGGGCAACAAGAGCGAAACUCCGUCUCAAAAAAAAAAAAAAGAAAGAAAAAAAAAAAAAGUGGCUUAUUCUACACAUAAUAUUUAUCAUUCAUCUCUGAAUUUAACAGCAUAUAUUGAACAUCUUUAAUAGAAUCAUAUACUAUUCUGCAACAUCAUUUUAAACAAUUGCAUGGCAUACGCAAAACGGAUAUGCUGUCAUUUAACCAACUUCCCCCUGUUGAAUGUUUAAAUUGCUUUCAAUUCUUUACUGCUAUAAACAAUUGUGCAACAUAGCUAAACACAGUGAAUAUAUCUAAAUAUUUGGCCUCACCCUUGAUUAUAUCAGUAAAGUAAAUUCCUAAAAGUGGAAUUGCUAAGUCAGAUAGAAUGCAGACUCUUAAGAUUUUGUAGUUUGCCAAGUUUCCCUAACAAAAGAUGGCACCAGCCAAACACACACACGAUAUCUGAGUGGCUUCUCUCUAGCCCCCUUACCAGUAAUUUUUAAAAAAUCUUUCUUAUUAAUUUUGUAAGUCAUUUUAAGUCAUUACUGAUAUAUGUGAAAUACAAACAAAGAAAAAUGUUAAAAUCUUCUAGUUAAGUAAAAAGCAAUGUGUACACAUCUAAACAUUAGCUUAGGUUAACAUGUUUUUAAAUAUUCAUAUCAAAAAUCACCUAAAUGCCUAAAAAUUUAUGAUUAGGGUUGUUGUUCCUUUGCCAAAAUUUUGUUUGGUGUCAUAUAUUUCCCCCACCCCUCCCACAUACCUGCCAAAAAUAAAGUUUCCAGAAAGGAAGUUCUAUACAAACUCAAAUUGUUGUUCAUCAUUUUCAUCUUUAGUACACAUGCACAAGCCAAUAAAAGUGAGUCAAUAUUUCACCAAGUUCCAUAGCAAAAAAAAAAAAAAAAGCAAAGUAUCAAAAUUUGUCUCAUCAUCAAUAGAAUGAUAGCCAGAGAAGACAUUUUAUUGUCCAUUUCUCAAAAAGAAAACUUAGUGUCGUGAUUUAUAUUAUCCAUCAUGGUCCAAUCACCUUCACUAUCAGUCACUUCAUCAAUGUGCCCCAUGCUUUAUAUAGGAAAACCACCUACUAACCAACUACAAGAUGGACAUGUACUUUGAGUACUUUUGUAACCUGCUGUGGUUGAAUAUUUGUGUCCCCACUAAAUUCAUAUGUUGAAAUCCUAACCCCCAGGGUGAUGGUAUUUGGAGGUGUGGGACUUUUGUAGGUGAUUACAUCAUGAGAGUUGAGCCCUUGUGACUAGAAUUAGUGCCCACAUAAAAGAGACCCUAUAGAGGUAGCUAGCCCCUUCCACCAUGUGAGGACACAGUGAGAAGUCAUCAUCUGUGAACCAGCAAAAGGUCCUUACCCAACACCAAAUCUGCUGGUGCCUUGAUCUUGAACUUCUCACCCUCCAGAACUAUGAGAAAUAAAUUUCUGUUUAUAAGCUAUCUAGUCUAUGUAUGGUAUUUUGUUAUAGUAGCCUUAACACACAAAGACACAACCUUUAUGGGUGAAAUAUGCUAUUCCAUUCAAGUUGUCACCCAGAUCCCUCUUGAAUUAACUGGAUAACAUUUCAAGAUAUGUCUCUUAGUCCAUUUUGUGCUGCUAUACUAGAAUACCACAGAUGGGGUAAUUUAUAAUGAACAGAAACUUACUGGCUCACAGUCUGGAGGCUAGGAAAUUCAUUAUCAAGGUGCUGGCAUCUGGCAAAAGCCUUCUUGCUGUGUUAACAAAUGGCCAAAAGGUAAAGAGAGAGGAACUCUGUGUCCUCAUGUGGUGGAAGAGCAGAAAAGCAAAGAGGCACAAACUCACCCUUUUUAAAUGGCCUUAAUCCCCCGCUGUGACAACUAAGCCCUCAUGGCCUAAUCACCUCUCUAAGAUCCUACCUCUUAAUACUGUUACAAUGGCAAUUUAAUUUCAACAUGAGCUUUGGAGGGGACAACAUUCAAACGGUAGCAGUAGGUACAUAACUGUCAGCAUAGAAUCAAUUUAAAUGACUUGCCCAAUACCUGGAAUGGAACGUGCACCCCGGGCCAUGUUAGCUGUGUUCUAAUUAACUGUGCUGAUGUUUCUGAGGGUAAAUGGCUUAGAAUGUGUAGUCAGUUAAAUAGUUUCCCUUCAAAUUCAUGUCUACCUGGAAUCUCAGAAUGUGCACUUAUUUGGAAAUAGGGUUGUUGCAGAUGUCAUUGGUUAAGAUGAGUAAUGCAUCUAUAAGCCAAAGAACACCAAGCCACCACCAGAAGUAAGAAGAGAGGCACAGAACAGAUUCUCCCUCAGAGCUUCCAGAAGAAACCAAUAUUGCUGACACCUUGAUUUCAAACUUCUAGCCUUCAGGAUUGUGAGAUAAUAAAUUCCUAUUGUGUUAAGCCACCCAGUUUGUGAUUCUUUAAUAUAGUAGCCCUAGCAAAGUAAUAUAAAAGGUAACUAUGAUGCUUUAAAAAGCAUCAAUUAUAGGAUUCAAUGUAGUGUAGCUAUGGCAUCUGUCACCAGGUUAAUUGCCAGAAUUGACUGACUGCUCUGGCAUCCUCCUAGUCCAGAGUUCCCUUCCUCUGAGAGCUCCAUGUGUGUUCUUCCCAAAGUGUCAACUCAAUCAAAAAGAAUGACAUUUCCAAUCUGACAAAGUCUAUUUUUAGUCAAGGUAUGUGGGGAGCUGUACUCCCUGGCUAGAGCUUUCCAAUAAGCACUGAAAUCCCUUUGCAAGCAAAUGUAGGUUAGCCAAAUCUGUUUUUACAAAGCGCCCCUCUCCACCUGUGAUUCUGUUAGAAUAUCAGUCAAAUCAUAGCUCCAUAUCAGUUUCACAGAAAGCAUGUAGAUUUAUAAGAUUAAACUUAUAUAAGCCUUGACCUUGAUGAAGUCCUAGUCAUUUCAAAGACAAGCCUUUAUAUUUUCUUUGAUAUUACAUCAGAGCAGGUACUCCAUAAUUUAUCAUAGUAGAAGCUGAAAAAUAAUUACAUAUAAUUACAUUUUUUUUACUUUUUUUUUUUUUGAGAAGGAGUCUCACUCUGUAUCCAGGCUGGAGUGCAGUGGUGUGGUGUGAUCUCAGCUCACUGCAACCUCCACCUCCUGGGUUCAAGCAAUUCUCCUGUCUUAGCCUCACAAGUAGCUGGAAUUACAGGCACCCACCACCAUGCCUGGCUAAUUUUUGUAUUUUUAGUAGAGACAGGGUUUUACCAUUUUGGCCAGGAUGAUCUCAAUCUCCUGACCUCGUGAUCCACCCACCUCGGCCUCCCCAAGUGCUGAGAUUACAGGUGCGAGCCACCAUGCCUGGCCUACUUUCUUAUUGAAAUAUUAUUUAUACCAUAAAGCAAGACUCUGAAUGUUCAGGUAAAACUUCAUGUUGUAAGGAAUUUUAAACUUUCCCUCUGGAAGUUCUGUAAUUGAGUCUGCUGAAAUAAAUUGACAAUAAACAAAUUAACAGGAGAAGGCAUACAAAUUUAUUAAUGUGUACAUGUGCACAAGAGGCACACAAAAUAUGAGACUCGAAGAGCCAGAUGGUUGAAGUUUAAAUACCCUCUUCAUAGGAGAGAGGGAAGUGGGGGAUGUAGGCAAUUUGAGAGAAAGAGUAAAUGAUUUUUAGGUAAAAUUAAUGGUUCCAAAGGACAGACAGUAGCCUGGGACAAAGUUUCUCUGUGCUCUAGGGAAGGUGGCAGCAAGUUACAGGAAGGAGAGGGGCAGAACUGCACUGCGAACAAAGGUUGGCCUAUUAUGUAAAUAAAGUCUCUCAGGUUAAUAAAAAAGUUCCAGAGCAGCCUCCAGAAGAAUAAGAAUAUCCUGUCUGGGCAUGGUGAUGACUUUUAAUCUUUACUCGUGACUAAUCUUGACUGGUUGUUUGAUGCAAUUCCUAGGGAGGGAGUUUAAGACAGUUACAUUUCUUUUAAAAGAACUUCCCUCAGUCAAAUAUGGGAACUUCAGAGAAAACUUAUCCCUGCACAUUGGAAGGGAAGAUGGGGAACAGCAGGUCAGGGAGAGAGAGAGACCUUGGUUCUGCAAUUUAUUUCUGAGGCCUUUUAAUCUCUUUUGUUCGAAGCACUCAGCAUGCCAAAGCACCAUAUUUUGGGAUAUUGUUUUCUGAGCCCCAACAUUGUCUAUGGAGAGGACCGAUGAAAAUUAAUCAUACCCAUAGGAAACUCAUCAAGUGCAGACCUAGUCCAUUCCUCUCUAUAUCAAAAGGAAAUCUUGACAUUAAAAAAAAUUUUUUUUAAAGCUUCAAUGUUAUACUGUAAAACAAAAUGAAAACUAUUCAUUUUAGUCUAUACAGAAAUAGAAAACCAGUUAUCUAAAUAAAUUGCUUAGGGGAUAGAUUCUGAUCCCAGGUCAGCCUUUGAAGCAUCCAAUGAACUUGGCUAUGCUUAAUCUAAUAUGCAUUGAGAAGGAUGUCUUUAGUAUACGGGGUUGACAUCAAAUUUAACUAUAGAAACAUUUCAGUUAGACAUCAAGUGGGCAACUCUUGAUGAUUCCACUGAAUAAGAAAUAAUUGCUGCUAAUUAGAAGCUACCUUUUUUAUGUCUCAACUAGUCUUUGAAAAGAGAUUACCAGUGAUAUUAUUUAUUGAGUUAUUUUAAUAUCCAUUUUGUGAAGAUAUUAGUAUUUGUUGUAUUCAGAAAAAUUCUAUAAAAAACAUAGAUAAAUAUUCUGUAAAACACUGAAAUAAAAUCUUUUAAGGAAAUAUUUUCAGGCCAGGGGCAGUGGCUCAUGCCUGUAAUCCCAGCACUUUGGGAGGCCAAGGCAGGCAGAUCACUUGGGCCCAGGAGUUCAAGACCAGUGUGGGCAACAUGCUGAGACCCUGUCUCUAUUAUUUUUUAAAAAAUAGAAAGAAAGAGGGCCGGGCACAUUGGCACACACCUGUAAUCCCAAUACUUUAGGAGGCCAAGGUGAGCAGAUCACCUGAGGUCAGGAGUUCGAGACCAGCCUGGCAAGCAUGGCAAAACCCUGUCUCUACUAAA